GUUCAUGAAAGAAACUGGGAGGGAGCAGAGCUGGGACAGGUGACCCAAAGGGAUAUACCACACCCCAGAAUGCCAUGCCCAGUACACAAACUGGGGGAGUUACCCAGAGGGGGCCAAUCUGGGUUUGGGGAGAGGGGUCUGGCAACAGGCAAUGGAUGACCACCCAGAUCAACACUGAAAUUAAUAGGGAGAGAAAGCUGUCACAGGAUUCUGAGUACUGAAUUCCUUUUUACAGGUGGCUACAUCCAUGUCAACAUAAGCCAAAACCCAUAGGAAAGGAAGAAGAUAAGUAAAAUAACUUGGAGAUGUUUCAAAGCAGAGGCCUUACUGUCAAGUUGGAGAGAAAACUGGAGCCACUUGAGCUCAAAGAAGGCCUGGAUACACCUACUUAUUUUGUAUAAUGUGUGUGACAGGAAGCACACUGUCCUGCACGCUAUUUUCCAACAGAAUUUGGAACAUGGAAUCUGAACCAUGUCCUCACUAACUCCUGUGCUUGAAGACUUCCAGGACUUCUAGUGAGUCCUUCAAAGAGCUCUUGACUUGCCUGUUCUGGACUGUAGCUCUGAUGAUACUGUGGUGCACAUCUCCCAGGGAAGACUCCUCCUGGAUGACAUUUAGCAUUUUUCUUUUUCUCUUAUCUAUAAGGAGCAAAUUCUGCAGAUAAACAAACACAUUUUACCAGUCACACAUCCCCAUUUAUUCUUUCCAUGAGUCUGUGCAGACAAGCUCCUCUGGAGCGUAUUUGAUAAUAGUGUGUAACAGGCAAUUCUGAUCUGUAAAUCCUGCAUAUUCAGGGCUUACUACAACCCACACACACACCA
This is a long non-coding RNA of Cyanistes caeruleus (blue tit), 821 nucleotides long. RefSeq lists it as uncharacterized. The record is from RefSeq and is a predicted model, not a curated record. Lineage: Eukaryota; Metazoa; Chordata; Aves; Passeriformes; Paridae.